RNAcentral lists this ribosomal RNA (274 nucleotides) under uncultured bacterium. RNAcentral's name for it is "partial 16S ribosomal RNA". It matches the Rfam family "Bacterial small subunit ribosomal RNA", at positions 523 to 796 of the family's 1533-position model. The record is from RNAcentral.
CUACAGAGGGUGCGAGCGUUAAUCGGAAUUACUGGGCGUAAAGCGCGCGUAGGCGGCUUAUUAAGUCAGAUGUGAAAUCCCCGGGCUCAACCUGGGAACUGCAUCUGAUACUGGUAAGCUAGAGUUUUGGAGAGGGAAGUAGAAUUUCAGGUGUAGCGGUGAAAUGCAUAGAGAUCUGAAGGAAUACCAGUGGCGAAGGCGACUUCCUGGCCAAAAACUGACGCUGAGGUGCGAAAGCGUGGGUAGCAAACGGGAUUAGAAACCCUUGUAGUCC